GACGAACGCUGGCGGCGUGCCUAACACAUGCAAGUCGAACGGAAAGGCCCUGCUUUCGUGUGGUUCUCGAGUGGCGAACGUGUGAGUAACACGUGAGUAACCUGCCCUGGACUUUGUGACAACUUCAGGCAACUGGGGCUAACACCGGCUAGGAGCUCCUGCUGCAUGGGGGGGGUUGGAAAGCAUCGGCGGGUGGGGAUGGAUGCGCGGCUUAUGAGCUUGUGGGUGGGGUAGUUGCUUACCAAGUCUUCGACGGAUAGGCGGCCUGAGAGGGUGAACGGCGUCAUGGGGACUGCGGUACGGAGCAGAGUGGUACAGUGGGCAGCAGUGGGGAGUAUUGCACAAUGGGGGGAAGUGUGAUAAAGAAACCCUGCGAGCGGAAUGCCGGCUUUCGGGUUGUAAACCGCAGUCGGCUGUGACGAAGCGUGAGUGACGGUAAUGGGUAAAGAAGCACCGGCUAACUACGUG
Molecule: ribosomal RNA, 468 nt
Filed under: uncultured bacterium
Lineage: Bacteria
Description: partial 16S ribosomal RNA
Rfam family: Bacterial small subunit ribosomal RNA
Source: RNAcentral